This 348-nucleotide unclassified non-coding RNA is filed under the name soil metagenome. RNAcentral describes it as "partial contains 5.8S ribosomal RNA, internal transcribed spacer 2, and large subunit ribosomal RNA". The stretch from base 1 to 120 matches the Rfam family "5.8S ribosomal RNA", at positions 35 to 154 of the family's 154-position model. The record is from RNAcentral.
GAUGAAGAACGUAGCGAAAUGCGAAAAGUAAUGUGAAUUGCAGAAUUCAGUGAACCAUCGAAUCUUUGAACGCACAUUGCGCCCGCUGGAACUCCGGCGGGCACGCCUGUCCGAGCGUCAUUUCAACCCUCAGGCCCCCCUUCGCGGGCGGGCCUGGUGUUGGGGCCCGGCCGCUACCCUGCGGCCGUCCCCUAAAUUCAGUGGCGGCCUCGCCGUGAUCCCUUGCGUAGUAAUGCACCUCGCACCGGAGAGCGCCGUGGCCACGCCGUAAAACCCCCAAUUUUCAAUGGUUGACCUCGGAUCAGGUGGGAAUACCCGCUGAACUUAAGCAUAUUAAUAAGCGGAGGA